This 496-nucleotide long non-coding RNA is filed under the name Prunus dulcis (almond). Its description in RNAcentral is "sRNA ncRNA". The record is from RNAcentral. Lineage: Eukaryota; Viridiplantae; Streptophyta; Magnoliopsida; Rosales; Rosaceae.
CAAACCCUCUCAAGAUACGAUAACUUCUUUUCUCCGCAGCCUUCUUUGCAGAACUAGGGUUUUGAAAGCGAACUUCGUUUCAUCGUCACCAUGAGAGCCAAGGUAAGAGCUCCAUCUCCUUUCCCUACUUGCGCUUUCUCUUAUUCUUUGUUAUCUGUUCGUUUAUUGAUUUGUUGUUUUUGUUUUGUGGCGUGGGCAGUGGAAGAAGAAGCGCAUGAGGAGGUUGAAGAGGAAGCGCCGAAAGAUGAGACAGAGAUCCAAGUAGUUUUGCCGCUAUCCACCAUCAAUCGACGUCGUCUCUCACCCGAUCCCCAUGUUUUGUUUUCUAAUCAAGUAAUCAGUACCGAUUAGUCAGCUUGUAGUCGUUGUGUACUUUUGUGAUUCUCUCAGUUUGAACAAUUUUUGCUUAAUUUCAGUCAGCUUUCAAACCAUAUUAUGAGCUUUAAAAUAACUGAUUUUCUAUCUGAGCCUCGGUAUCGCGAUUUUAAAUUCUGAU